ACCCAGCGUUAGGGAUUGCAGCGGAAAACCCACAGCGCGGGUAGCCUUCGUGGUAUAGCCAAGGCGAGGAUUUGCAGCGUAAAGCCCGGGCCGCA
Molecule: unclassified non-coding RNA, 95 nt
Filed under: Mucilaginibacter gossypiicola
Lineage: Bacteria; Pseudomonadati; Bacteroidota; Sphingobacteriia; Sphingobacteriales; Sphingobacteriaceae
Description: Flavo-1 RNA
Source: RNAcentral